Molecule: unclassified non-coding RNA, 234 nt
Filed under: Hevea brasiliensis (rubber tree)
Lineage: Eukaryota; Viridiplantae; Streptophyta; Magnoliopsida; Malpighiales; Euphorbiaceae
Source: RNAcentral
GGAGAAACUAAGAAAGGUGGUGUUGGUGCUGACUCACUACUCAACGGCUAAGUGUUUUAGAGUUAAUCAAAUUAAAGUCGGACGUCGCGCCGGAGCUAGUGCCGUCCGCCGGAAGUGUAGCCGGAGAAAGGAGGAAGAGGGACGGAGAAAAUAAUGGGAAAAUAGGAAGAGGAAAAGGGUUUAAGCGUUAGAGUAAUUUGAUUGAAUCCGACAUCAUGUUGUUGAACAUGGGGA